This 22-nucleotide microRNA is filed under the name Cordylochernes scorpioides. Lineage: Eukaryota; Metazoa; Arthropoda; Arachnida; Pseudoscorpiones; Chernetidae. The record is from RNAcentral.
GCGGUGCGAAUAGCGGGUUCCC